Molecule: ribosomal RNA, 451 nt
Filed under: uncultured bacterium
Lineage: Bacteria
Description: bacterial SSU rRNA
Rfam family: Bacterial small subunit ribosomal RNA
Source: RNAcentral
GGGCAGGACAUCCCAGGACAGCGGAAACAUGGUGUUCCACUUCGGGGGUGUACAAGACAGGGGAAGCAUGGCUGUGGUCCGCUCUGAUCCAGAGAUGUUGGGGAAAGUCCCGCCACGAGCGCAACCCCAGACUUUAGUUGCCAUCAUUCAGUUGGGCACUGGAUAGGGUCCACCGGUGGUAAUCCGGAGGAAGGGGGCGGCGCAGUCAAGUCCUCAUGUCCCUUAGGCCCAAAAGUCCACACGUGCUACAAGUGGUGGCCCCAAGGGAAGGGAUUAACAGAGCAGUCCAAAUCCCAAAACCCCGUUAUCAAUUCGGAUCGGAGUCAGCAACUGCGCUCCGUGAAGUUGGAACCCCUCAAACACGGCUCAGCAUGCCGACAGCCAUACGGCCCCGGUCCCCGUACCCACCGAAGUCACGCCCAGGAAGUCAGCUGUACUGGAAGUCAAGCGA